UUUUGACCUCGGAUCAGGUAGGGAUACC
Molecule: ribosomal RNA, 28 nt
Filed under: Alternaria alternata
Lineage: Eukaryota; Fungi; Ascomycota; Dothideomycetes; Pleosporales; Pleosporaceae
Also listed under: 2 other names
Description: partial 28S ribosomal RNA
Source: RNAcentral